GAAGGUGCCCGUACCGCAAACCGACACAGGUAGGCGAGCAGAGUAUGCUAAGGCGCUCGGAAGAACUCUCGUUAAGGAACUCGGCAAAAUGACCCCGUAACUUCGGGAGAAGGGGUGCCUCGGUAGGGUGAAUAGCCCGAGGGGGCCGCAGUGAAAAGGCCCAAGCGACUGUUUAGCAAAAACACAGGUCUGUGCGAAGCCGUAAGGCGAAGUAUACGGGCUGACGCCUGCCCGGUGCUGGAAGGUUAAGGGGAGUGGUUAGCCGCAAGGCGAAGCUAUGAACCGAAGCCCCAGUAAACGGCGGCCGUAACUAUAACGGUCCUAAGGUAGCGAAAUUCCUUGUCAGGUAAAUUCUGACCCGCACGAAUGGCGUAACGACUUGGGCGCUGUCUCAACGAGAGAUCCGGUGAAAUUUUAAUACCUGUGAAGAUGCAGGUUACCCGCGACAAGACGGAAAGACCCCAUGGAGCUUUACUGCAGCUUGAUAUUGGACUUUGGUACGAUCUGUACAGGAUAGGUGGGAGCCUGAGAA
RNAcentral lists this ribosomal RNA (532 nucleotides) under Paenibacillus artemisiicola. RNAcentral describes it as "partial 23S ribosomal RNA". It matches the Rfam family "Bacterial large subunit ribosomal RNA", at positions 1634 to 2161 of the family's 2925-position model. The record is from RNAcentral. Lineage: Bacteria; Bacillati; Bacillota; Bacilli; Caryophanales; Paenibacillaceae.